Molecule: long non-coding RNA, 120 nt
Organism: Haliotis rubra (blacklip abalone)
Lineage: Eukaryota; Metazoa; Mollusca; Gastropoda; Lepetellida; Haliotidae
Exons: 3
Source: RefSeq, a predicted model, not a curated record
GGGAUGAUAUGACUGAACACUGUACAGUAGAUGGUGAAGAUCAGGUAGAAUACAGGGACAUUGUUUCUAAAGUAUGUAAAGAAGCCAGAAACAUAUUUUCAGAAAUCAAUACAGCUGAAC